AAUUACUUCCAUGCCACCCUGAACAAGCUUGGUCCUGUCUGAUCUCGGGAGCUAAGCAGGAUCAGGCCUGGUUAGUAUUUGGAUGGGAGGUCACCUAGGAAGACCAGGUGCUGUAGGCA
This 119-nucleotide ribosomal RNA is filed under the name Pteropus alecto (black flying fox). The record is from RNAcentral. Lineage: Eukaryota; Metazoa; Chordata; Mammalia; Chiroptera; Pteropodidae.